UACGUAGGGGCCUAGCGUUGUCCGGAAUUAUUGGGCGUAAAGAGCUCGUAGGCGGUUCGGCAAGUCGGAUGUGAAAUCUCCACGCUCAACGUGGAGGGGCCAUUCGAAACUGCCGUGACUCGAGUCCGGUAGGGGAGUGUGGAAUUCCCGGUGUAGCGGUGAAAUGCGCAGAUAUCGGGAAGAACACCCGUGGCGAAGGCGGCUCUCUGGGACGGUACUGACGCUGAGACGCGAAAGCGUGGGGAGCGAACGGG
RNAcentral lists this ribosomal RNA (254 nucleotides) under uncultured bacterium. RNAcentral's name for it is "partial 16S ribosomal RNA". It matches the Rfam family "Bacterial small subunit ribosomal RNA", at positions 524 to 776 of the family's 1533-position model. The record is from RNAcentral.